GACGAACGCUGGCGGCGUGCUUAACACAUGCAAGUCGAACGAAGUGGCGAACGGGUGAGUAACGCGUAAUCAACCUGCCCUUCAGAGGGGGACACCAGUUGGAAACGACUGCUAAUACCGCAUACUGAAGGAGGGGAUUGCGUCUGAUUAGCUAGUUGGAGGGGUAACGGCCCACCUAGGCAACGAUACAUAGCCGACCGGAGAGGUGGAGCGGCCAAACUGGGACUGAGACCCGGCCCAGACGCCUACGGGAGGCAGCAGUAGGGAAUCUUCGGCAAUGGGGGGAACCCUGACCGAGCAACGCCGCGUGAGUGAAGACGGCCUUCGGGUUGUAAAGCUCUGUUAAUCGGGACGCGGUACCGGAAUAGAAAGCCACGGCUAACUACGUGCCAGCAACCGCGGUAAUAC
This 408-nucleotide ribosomal RNA is filed under the name uncultured bacterium. RNAcentral describes it as "partial 16S ribosomal RNA". It matches the Rfam family "Bacterial small subunit ribosomal RNA", at positions 28 to 526 of the family's 1533-position model. The record is from RNAcentral.